UGCCUAAUACAUGCAAGUAGGACGCACAGUUUAUACCGUAGCUUGCUACACCAUAGACUGUGAGUUGCGAACGGGUGAGUAACGCGUAGGUAACCUGCCUAUUAGAGGGGGAUAACUAUUGGAAACGAUAGCUAAUACCGCAUAACAGUAUGUAACACAUGUUAGAUGCUUGAAAGAUGCAAUUGCAUCGCUAGUAGAUGGACCUGCGUUGUAUUAGCUAGUAGGUAGGGUAAAGGCCUACCUAGGCAACGAUACAUAGCCGACCUGAGAGGGUGAUCGGCCACACUGGGACUGAGACACGGCCCAGACUCCUACGGGAGGCAGCAGUAGGGAAUCUUCGGCAAUGGGGGGAACCCUGACCGAGCAACGCCGCGUGAGUGAAGAAGGUUUUCGGAUCGUAAAGCUCUGUUGUUAAGGAAGAACGAGUGUGAGAAUGGAAAGUUCAUACUGUGACGGUACUUAACCAGAAAGGGACGGCUAACUACGUGCCAGCAGCCGCGGUAAUACGUAGGUCCCGAGCGUUGUCCGGAUUUAUUGGGCGUAAAGCGAGCGCAGGCGGUUAGAAAAGUCUGAAGUGAAAGGCAGUGGCUCAACCAUUGUAGGCUUUGGAAACUGUUUAACUUGAGUGCAGAAGGGGAGAGUGGAAUUCCAUGUGUAGCGGUGAAAUGCGUAGAUAUAUGGAGGAACACCGGUGGCGAAAGCGGCUCUCUGGUCUGUAACUGACGCUGAGGCUCGAAAGCGUGGGGAGCGAACAGGAUUAGAUACCCUGGUAGUCCACGCCGUAAACGAUGAGUGCUAGGUGUUAGGUCCUUUCCGGGACUUAGUGCCGUAGC
This 833-nucleotide ribosomal RNA is filed under the name uncultured Streptococcaceae bacterium. RNAcentral's name for it is "bacterial SSU rRNA". It matches the Rfam family "Bacterial small subunit ribosomal RNA", at positions 45 to 852 of the family's 1533-position model. Lineage: Bacteria; Bacillati; Bacillota; Bacilli; Lactobacillales; Streptococcaceae. The record is from RNAcentral.